This 1023-nucleotide ribosomal RNA is filed under the name Triticum aestivum (bread wheat). Its description in RNAcentral is "partial small subunit ribosomal RNA". The record is from RNAcentral. Lineage: Eukaryota; Viridiplantae; Streptophyta; Magnoliopsida; Poales; Poaceae.
AUGGCGGCGGCGGCGGGCCUCCACCAAGACGUUCUCGCCCGUAUCUUGCUCCUCCUGUCGUGCAUCGUGGACCGCGUCAGGGCGUCCGCGGUCAACAAGCACUGGCGGCGGGUCUCGCUGCAGAAUCCGCCCCCGCUGCCGCGCCUCCUCAGGCCAUCCACGGCCCGGACCGAGAGCUACCGGAUCUUCGGCGGCUUCGUCGAUCUGCACCCGUCCCUCUCUGACGAGGGCCGCGGGCCGCGUUUCUGCGGGUCUGCUCCGGGCGGCUGGUUCGUGAUGUCAUCCCAGCCCUGGCGCGGCCACGCGCUCCUGAAUCUCCGCACCGGCGAGCGCGUCGCCCUGCCGGAGAGGGUGCGCAUCCCACUCGAGUUCGGCCUCGGCGUCAUCACGUGCCCCAUGAUGAUCCGCGCAGCCGUCAUGUCCUCGGCGCCGCCGUCUGGCGCCUGCUUGGUCGCUGCGGUAACGUCUAGCCAGACCAACCUGGCGUUCUGGCGGCCAGGCAUGGAAUGCUGGUUGUCGGCGCCGGCGGUAGGGAGGUUUGUGCGCAACGCCGAAGACAUCACUUACCACGACGGAUGGUUCUGCGCCGUUGAAUCAGAUGAUGACCUCGUCUGCUACAAGCCGGAAAUCGCCCCUGCUGAAGACGGCGCCCCUUCGCUGACCAUUCGACAUCACGCCUACAAUCUCCAUGUCCAUGGUCACCGGACGGCACCCGGGGAGAUCGUCUCCCGCUACCUCCUGCCCUCCGCAUCCGGUGCCGAUCUGCUGAUGAAGAGCGGGCAGGUGCUCUUCGUCGGCCGGGCCUGCUCCAAGGCCUUCUACACGGGGCACACCGGCGGCCCGGGCUAUAUCUACUUCCUCGACGACGUCUACACCGGUGGUCCGCACAGUGUCGCCCAGCAGAACGAGUAUCCCUGCGUCGACGCCGGCGGGUGGCGUUACUCAGUCCCCGACGAGAUCCAGCGCUGCCUUCCAUGGUUGCCCCCCUCGGACACCUCGCCAUGCAUUUGGUACCACCAUUAA